Molecule: non-coding RNA, 101 nt
Organism: Drosophila melanogaster (fruit fly)
Lineage: Eukaryota; Metazoa; Arthropoda; Insecta; Diptera; Drosophilidae
Source: Ensembl
ACACAAGGCCUGCCGCCCAAGAAACGCAAGCCCAGAAGUCCGGCAGUCGAGAAUCACGAGGGACUGGGACCUUGGGCUUACGGUUCUCAGUUUGGCUUGAC